This 7951-nucleotide long non-coding RNA is filed under the name Zostera marina. Its description in RNAcentral is "long non-coding RNA (ZMAR_LNC001879)". Lineage: Eukaryota; Viridiplantae; Streptophyta; Magnoliopsida; Alismatales; Zosteraceae. The record is from RNAcentral.
GCAGAUGGCUUCUACUUCAAAGUCCACAAUACCGUCUGCAUUCGGAUCAGAUAUUUCUGAUUCAGAUUCAGAAGACUCGCUUUCAGACGAGUGUUGAUUAAACGAUUUUUUUUUUCUUAUUCAAACUUCGAAUGUUUAACGAUUCUGUAAUUUAAUUUCUUUUUAAUAAAAAACAUCGAUUUCAAUUUCAAUUUCAAAAUCGUUUUCUCAAAUAUCGAUUUCUAUUUAAAAAAACAACGAUUCGAACGCAAAAUAUAGAAUCCUGUUUUUAAAAAAAAUGUAACAAACAUUGUAUGGCGGAUUUCCGCCAUCUAUACUCUUCUACUAAGGUUUAGAUGACGGAUAUCCGCCAUCUAUAAACUAAGGGAACCGCCUGCUGUACUUUAGAUGGCGGAUUUCCGCCAUCUAAUGUUCCAAGGAUAGUCGGCGGACAUCCGCCAUCAAUGAAAUUAACCGCCAUCAAUGAAUUGGCGCCAAACUAUUCCCGCGCCAUAUUUUAAAUGGCGGAUUUCCGCUAUCUAAAACUUUUUAGUUCGCGCGAAAAUUUUCAGAUUAGAUGGCGGAUUUCCGCCAUCUAUACGAUUUUUGGUGGGAAAUGGGGAUGGAUAAUAGAUGACGGUCUUUAGAUGGCGGUUUAGGGGUUUUAAUGGCGGUGUCCAAGAUGGCGGAUUUCCGCCGACGAUCACUUUAGAUGGCGGAAAUCCGCCAUCUAAAGACCGCCAUACAAGGUCCUUUUUCUUGUAGUGAUGAUGUGAACAGAACCAAACCAAAAUGGUAUUUAAUAUUCAUUUUUAUAGGUUUUUAUGAUCGAUUUUAAGAAUAGGGCAUGUAAAUUUUAUUUUUAAAAUAGUAAAAAAUUAAAAAAAUCCACCUUGGACAAAUUUCACACCCUUCCGUGAAUUCUUGGAUACACCACUGGAGGUGGGUGGGACUCAAUCAGGAAACAUGUUCGAACUCUCCAAUGCUCUAUUCGCCGUCUCUCAGUGAUCUCUCAAAGUUCUCUCCAAGAAAUCCUAUCUCUCUAAUUGCUGAAAAUGACCCCCUAUUUAUAAGAUUUCUUAUGGGGGUAAUCAAGUCAUUAGAGCAUUAACUACCUAACUUCCUUGCUAACCCAUAUCUAGCACCAAUUUGACUUUAUGGGAUCGACUUUUCUAGGUUGACUUUUCUUAAAUCUAAUUAAAGGGAUGAUAAGAGGGAAAUAGAUAUUUUAGUUUGAGAAAACAGUUUAUAUUAAGUCUAAUUGUUAUGAUUGACAUUAAUUAUUAAUCAACAACAACCAACGAUAAAAAAAAUGGAAGGUUAUAGUAAGUGAUAAGGUCUCUAAUUAACAUAACAUGAAGAAAAAUGCUUUAAAAAAUUCAAAAUUAAACAAAUUGUUAUAAUUUAAUAAACAAAUAAAUGUUCUUUGAAAUUUGGGUACUGUUGGCUCAUUCACAAUCACAAUCGAUUGAAAUACUUUUAGAUUUUCAAAGUUAAUGAUCAAAGAAUCACACUACUAUUUUCCUAUAGAGAUAGCAUGGUUAUAUGUAUGGGUGGAAAUGAACCAAAAUAUGAAUGAGUUUGAAUGUAGUGAAACAAUAAUAAAAAUGGAUUUCCUCAACUAUAAACUGGCCUUCUUCUUUAGAGACGCAUUUCAUUAAUGGUCCAUCAUAUGAUUUUUUAUAUAGAAUGUCUUCAAUUUGGCAUAAUCUCAGGAUGCGCGUUUGUAGCUUCCGGCGUUCAUUUUUAUCUUUUGGCAGUUCUUGGCCUUAGAAAUACUCUAGUAAUAGUUGCCUCCAAUCUUCGACCUGACUUGUCACUAGAUUGCAAGAGAGGACAAACACUGAGUCUACUAGUUUUUCCCUUUGCCCGCCAUCGAACGCAGAGACAAGCUUUGCAAGUGCAUCUGCAGAGUUGUUCUGGCUUCGGGGGACCUGUUCUAUUUUUAUUUUUUCAAACUGCAGCUUUAUUUUGUCUAAUGUUGCUGCGUACUGUACUAUCUGAGGUUCUUUUACUGAGAACUCUCCUGUUGACUAUCUUACCAUCAGCUGAGAGUCGGUUCUGACUAUUACUAAGCAGGCUCCCAAUGUUUUGACUAUUUUCAAAUCUUGGAUUACAACCUCGUAUUCUGCUGUGUUGUUUGUAGCCAUGAAUUGCAGUCUUACCGAGUGUUCGUAUAUUUUCUGGUCUGGGGUUAUUAUCUUGACCCCUACUCCAGCAACUGUACUACAGCUUGAGCCGUCAACUUCCACUACCCAAGGAGAGUCCUCAUUACUCUGCGUCAUAUCUACUAUGAAAUCUGCAAUGGCUUGUCCUUUGAUAGUUAUAGCUGGAAUAAAAUCGAUGUCAAACUCGCUCAGUUCCAGUGCCCAUUUUGUGAGUCUGCCCUAUGUAUCUGGCCUGUGAAUGAUCCUUCUUAGUGGAUGUUCAGUCAGGACUUUGAUCGUGUGAGCCAGAAAAUAUGUUCGAAAUCUUCGCGCUGCAUGUACGACGGCGAGAACAAUCGAUCUUUUGAACUGGAGAAUACCGGGUCUCUACCCUUUGCAACCUUUUUGAGUGAUAGUAGAUAGGUAUCUGCUCACUAUCUCUCUGGUAAAUUAGUACUGCGUUGAUUGCCUCUUCUGAUGCUGCUACAUAUACAUAUAAGUCCUCCCCUGUCUGCGGGGAGGCUAGGUGUGGUAGUGAUAUCAAGUAUUUCUUUAACUGUUCGAAUGCCUGUUCGCAUUCCGAGAUCCAUGUUACUGGCCCUUUUUGACUUGUUUUGAGUAGCUAGAAAAAGGGUUUACACUUGUCUGCUACUUUGGAUAUGAAUCUUCUCAAGGCAUUGAUCUUUCCAUUGAGUCUCUGUACUUCUCUGAUGGUUCGUGGUGGCUUGGUCUCCAAGAUUGUAGUUACCUUCUCUGGGUUGGGCUUUAUUCCUCUUUGGCCUACAUAAAACCCUAGGAAUUUUCCCUCUUGGACCCCGAAGCUGCAUUUGGAUGGAUUGAGCCGCAUUUCGUACCUUUUCAUAGUUUCCAGUGUUGCUCGUAAGUUCUGCCAAUGAUCUCUUGUGUGCCUUUACUUUACUAGGAUGUCAUCUACAUACGUCAGGACGUUUCUCCCUACCUGCUCUUUGAAUACCUUGUCCAUGAGCCUUUGGAAGGUUGCUCCUGCAUUUCAUAGGCCGAAUGGCAUAACCCUGUAGCAGAAAGUUUCCCAUUCUGUGAUGAAUGAUGUGGCUUCCUCAUCUUCUUCUUUCAUGAGUAUCUGAUUGUAGCCCGAGUGCGCAUCCAUCAUUGAUAAUAGUUCAUUACCCGAAGUCUCAUCCACUAAUCUGUCUAUUGAAGGGAGUGGAUAGCUAUCCCUUGGGCAUGCUUUAUUGAGAUCUGUUAAGUCUACACACAUUCGCUACUUUCUAUUGGAUUUCUUCACCAUCACCCCCGUUGGCUAGCCACUGUGGGUAUUUGACUUCGCGUAUAUGUCCUGCAUUGAUUAGUUUUUAUAUUUCAGCCCACGUUGCUUCUUUCCUUUCAGCUGCGAGAAUUCUUCGCUUAUGUCAUAUUAGAGUGAAGUCUGGAUCAAUGUUUAGCUCAUGGCAUGUUGUGGUCAAUUGUACCUGUGAGGGUGCCUCUCCCUCCCAUACAAACGAUGCUUCAUGAGUAUUCAGUAAUAUCAAGGAAGCUUUUAAUUCUGAGGUAAUGGACGUACCUAUUAGAUUUUUUCCUCCCUCAGUUAGUGCAACUUCUUCUAUUUGGCCAUGUGGUGUCAUUUCCUCCUUGUCCUCCCUCUUUCGGAUGAACAGAGUUAUGGGCUUGGCCAUUUUUGUUGCUUUUUUGUAUGAAUCCCUUGAAUCCCUUUGUGUUCUUUGCACAGUUGUCAUUUUUCCAUCAUUUCCUAAAUAUCUGAAAGUCUGAUGGUAGGAUGAGGGUACUGCCUUGAAGCCAUGUAUACUUGAUCUUCCUAGGAUUCCGUUGAACAGAGAAGCGAUGUCUACCAUAAUAAAAUGUGUUGUUCUGGAUACUCUUCCUCUUCUCUUGCCCAAUGAUAUUUCUAAAUCAAUUAUACCCGCUACUGAAGCUUUGGUAUUUAUGAAACCAUAAAUUGCCUCUUUGGCUGGUGUCAGCUGCUCUCUUUUGAAGCCCAUUUUCUCGAAAGCUGCCAGAUAUAGGAUGUCUACUGAGUUCCCGUUGUCUACUAGUACUUUGGUCAGAGUCAGGUCUGCUCCUAUAUCUAUCUGGAUUACUAAUGGGUCUUCGUGCAGAUUUGCUAUAUUAUCUAAAUCCUCUUCUGAAAAGCUAACAUCCUUCUGUGGUAUGCUCUUUUCUUCGGAUUCUUUACUGGUUGCAUAGUAGUAUGUAGGACUUUUCUAGUAUAGCUUCUACUUUGUCUUACUGAUCCCACUCCGAAGAUGACAUUGAUAACCAUUCUUUUUUGGUCAUUGGGUUUGUCGUCUCGACUUCGUGAGCGCUCUCGCUUUCCUCUACUUCUUAGGGGUUUGCAAAUUGUUUUUUCUCGAAUUUCAGCCACACAUCCUUUUAGUUUCCCUGCCUUUUCCUGGGUUUCUAAGAAUGUUUCUAGUUUCCUACAGGUAUUGGUUCCGUGCCCGUAAUCCCUGUGGAACUCACAGUACCUUCUGCUCUUUUCGCGAACCUCUUUGGUGGUGGGAUUUAAAGGAUUGUGCUCUGGAAAUUUUAUUUUUCUUUUCUCCCUGUCGUAUAUUUCUUGAUGCGACACAUUGAAAGGAUUGUUAAAGUUAUGAAACCUAGAUCUCAUGGGUUCCUCUAAUAUUUGAUAGACUCUGCUAUCAUGUAUGGGUUUCCAUGAUGACUCCCCUUUUUCAAAUUUUUAUUUCUGUGGCAUGAAUGCCCUUGCUGCGGCGGCCACUUUCUCUUUUUCUUUUUCUUUUGAGUUCAUGUACUUCUGUGCCUGAACCAUCAUUUCUUCUAUGCUGGUUAUGGGUUUUACAUUCAGCUUGAUUACUAGUGGGUUGUUCCUGUCUAAACCGCUUGAAUACACAUAGAUUGCGAUGGUCCUAUUGAGGUUGGAAACCUUUUGCAUAGCCUCAGUGAAUUUGUUUGUGUAAUUCCUGAGGGUGUCACUGUUCUAUUUUUUAAAAAACAACGAAUAUGUACCCUUCUUCACCGUUACAUUGUCACAGUGUUGAGUUAGGAAUUUCUCUCUUAGGUCAGAGAAGUUUUUAAUGCUCUGGACUGGUAGAUCUGCGAACCAUUUAUAUGUUGUUCCUCUCAAGGUUUCAGGAAAAUCCUUGCACGGUAUGUCAUCCCUCUCUGUUACCCAUUGCAUUACUCCCCUGAACAUAUUUAUAUGGUCUACAGGGUCCUGCUUUCCAUCGUAUUCGGGCAAUUUUGACAACCUGAACCCUAUUGGUGUAGUGUUUAUCAUUAAUGAACUGUCUAAAGGUUCCAUGCCCUCGAAUAAGAUUGGGUGCCUUUGUGUUGUAUUUUCUGAAUCCCCCGUUCACUCUCUGUGUCGGAUGUGGGAUUUGAUAGGGUUUUGGACUUUCCCCUGACUCUCUGGCAGGGGUUUCUUCCCUUGACUUUUAUGUGUGAGGGGUGUGGACUGUGAUGUGUGACUCUUUGCCCUUUGUCUUUCUGAACCUUGGCCUGAGAGGCGUGCUGAAGUCUGAUCCCUUGUAUACUGGGCUGUCCAGGUUCUGCGUGUGGUUUCGCCUGCUUUUAACCUUUCUGCCAUUCGAGCUAUGGUUUCUUUCAUAGUAAUUAACUCUUCGAUAGGGAUCUGUAUCAUAGAGUGAUGGCUGCUAGAAGGGGCAAGCGAUUGUUCAAUGUUUAGAGACCUUUCUUGAUGGGCGGGAAUCUGCUGUCGUUCCCUCUGUUGUUCCCUUUCUAUCUGGAAAAAAUUCAGUGGAUUUUGCUGUGCUACCACUUCUUGCUGGACCUGAUUUGUCAGAGAAACAUGUAUCGUUAUAAUUUGAUUUUCUCCUUGCCCAUUAGUUUGGGCUCUGGGGUUCUCAGGUACCCCUUCCUGUUGGGUUGUUCCUGGUGUUCUCCCUCUUAUAAGAGGUCUUCCUUGUAUUGACCAUUUUGCUUCCUAGUUCGGAGAAAAUCGAGCUGAGGUGGUCGACUUACGUGUUGGUCGACUUAGAGAAGUCGAGUGCUGCAAGGUCCUCCGAGGGUCGAGCCUCUCAUUGAAGUCGAACUGAUUGGAACUCGAGCCUAGGGUCGAUCCUCCCACGGUGGUUGCUUUCCCUGAAAGUCGACCUUGGACAAGUCGAGCUUAUGGAAGUCGAACCUGGGGUCGGUCCUCCUAAGACGGUUGAGUUGGAUCACAAAAUCGACCAUGGGAGUCGAACCUCCCGAGAAAGUCGAGUUGGAAGGCUGAGUCUGCGCUGUUGGGAGCUGAUUUUGCCGCGACUUUUCGAAAAAGUCGAUCACCUUUCUAUUUUGUAUCUUGAAUUCACAGACGACGCCAACUGAUAAAGGUGGAACCCGAUCAGUGCUCGGGCGACGCUUCGAACAAGCGUAGGGCCGUGAACUCCGUCGGAAAUUGCUCGGACACUCUAAAUCAACUACCAGAAGUUGUUGAUUUAGUUUCUACUGGUAAAAUAUUUUGACGCAAAAUAUACUGGAAAUUGAAUUUAAAUAAUUCAUUUUGAAUAAGAAUUAAAAAAACUCAAUCGGAAAAAAAAAAUUAUUGAGUAACUUUGGAGUAACUAGCUCUGGAGUAACUCUGGAGUGUCUCUCCAUUCGUUCUCCAAUAGCUCUCAAUUAGCUCUCUAGUAGCUCUCCAUUAGCUCCAUCAACUAAAUCAGAAAAACUUAUUCGAACUAAAAUUAUACUGAAAAAGAUUCAAACUGAGAUAUUAUUAGAAACUAAAUCAUAUGUAGAAACUAAAAUAUCAGUUGAAACAAUGGGAAAUUCAAUCAGAAUAAGAAUUAAAAAAACUCAAUGGGAAAAAGAAAAUUCUUAAGUAGCUCUCCAAUAGCUUGGAGUAACUAUGGAGUAGGUCUCCAGCAGCUCUGGAGUAACUAUGGAGUAGCUCUCCAGCAACUAUGGAGUAGCUCUCCAGCAGCUCUCCGUAGUUCUGGAAUAGCUCGCCAGUAGCUCUGGAGUAACUAUGGAGUAGCUCUAGAGUAGCUCUCCAGUCGUUCUGAAGUAGCUCACCAGUAGCUCUGAAGUAGCUCUGAAGUAGCUCUCCAUUAGCUCUAGAGUAGCUCUCCAUGAGCUCCAUCAACUAAAUCAGAAAAACUCAUUGAAACUAAAAUUAUACUGAAAAAGAUUCAAACUAAAAUAUCAGUAGAAACUAAAUCAUUAGAACCAUAUCAGUAGAAACUAUACCAAAGUUUGUCAUUUUAUGAAAUCAGUAGAACCAUAUAAGCAGAACAAUAUCAAAAGAAAUUAAAUGUAAUCAAAUGUACUACAAAAGUAAUAUCAGUAGAAACUAAGCAAGCUUCAAAUGAUUGAAUGAGGUUCCACGAAAGUAUCUAAAUGUUCAAUCAGUAGAAACUAAAUCUAAUUUGCAAAAAAAAAACUAAAUGUAAAAAACAUUAAAAAAUAAAACCUAAAAUAUGAUAUGUGAAUAUCAACUAAAACAAACAAACUCACUCGAAGUAAAAUAAUACUGAUAAUGAUUCAAACUAAAAUAUCAGUAUGAACUAAAUCAAUAUAAACUUUAUCCGUAGAAACUAAACGAUGAUCGAUCCAAAGACUAUAAAAAAUAAAUAAGAAUCAGAGUGGAAAAACUCUGACCGAUUUGAUGACUAACUGAUCAGGUGGUAACACGAACGAUUGGAGAGAAAGAAGGAGCAAGAACAGAAUACGAAAAGAGGAGGUGAGCAGGAAGACUGCAAUUAAACGACCGGAGAGGAAGAAAUAGUAAGAACACGGAUGCGACGACGAUCACGGUAGCAUCAGUUAGUUAGAUGACGAAAAGAGGGAAGAGGAGGCGGGAGCGGAGCUGCAAGUGAAACCCUUUUUCUAAUCUAGCUUAUUUGGGUCAUGUACCGAAAAGAAAC